AGACCUACGGGCGCAGCAGUGAGGAAUAUUGGUCAAUGGGCGGUAGCCUGAACCAGCCAAGUAGCGUGAAGGAUGAAGGUUCUAUGGAUUGUAAACUUCUUUUAUAAAGGAAUAAAGUGAGGCACGUGUGCCUUUUUGUAUGUACUUUAUGAAUAAGAAUCGGCUAACUCCGUGCCAGCAGCCGCGGUAAUACGUAGGUUCCGAGCGUUAUCCGGAUUUAUUGGGUUUAAGGGUAGCGUAGAUGGGUCGUUAAGUCAGUUGUGAAAGUUUGCGGCUCAAUCGUAAAAUUGCAAUUGUUACUGACG
Molecule: ribosomal RNA, 305 nt
Filed under: uncultured bacterium
Lineage: Bacteria
Description: bacterial SSU rRNA
Rfam family: Bacterial small subunit ribosomal RNA
Source: RNAcentral